RNAcentral lists this transfer RNA (63 nucleotides) under Lipothrix lubbocki. RNAcentral's name for it is "tRNA-Asn". Lineage: Eukaryota; Metazoa; Arthropoda; Collembola; Symphypleona; Sminthuridae. The record is from RNAcentral.
UUUAAAGAAACUAAUCAAUAGUUGCUUACUGUUAAUAAGUAUAAGAGCAUAACUCCUUUAAAU